GGAAAGAGUUAGUGCCAUUUCAACUAGAGAAAAGAGAGAGAGAGAAAGAGAGAAAUAAAAACAUUCCAGCGCAGAAUCUCAUUUUGGACGUCUCAACCAUGCAGGUGGAUUCGAAAGACCAAGUGACACGCAAAAGGACAAGAGAUUAUCAGCCAACACACGCGUUUCCCUCCCGCUCUGUCAACACUGGUAAGUUAGGAAAAUGUCAAAAGUGUCAAGUCUUGCUCGGCGAAUUCUCAUAGAGGCGAAAGACAGCGGCUCUCUCGUACGAGCAGCUUAACCAGCGUCUAAUUAUACAAGCGAUAAAAGUCGGAUAGAUUCUGUACACCAGAGAAUUGAACGAUCAUCCCCGUUUCACCCGCGAUUGCAAGAUGCGACUCGACACGAGAUACAAAACGGAGAUCCCGAAGAAUGCGUCGCGUAACGGUCACGUAAUUAUUUCAAGGACUUGGCGUCGGUGUACUAAAAAAAAAAAAAAAAAAAAAAGAAAAACGAGUCGUAACAAAUAAAACUGCGUUUGCGAUUCGCGAAAAUUGUAAAUCACCUGACCUUUUUUGGAGCGCCGACCACACAAAUGUCAGAGUUGAAUGAACGAUUUCGGAGAGUCGGUCAUCUCUCUAACAACUGGUAAGUAAAUAUAUAAAAUUGAGAAAUAAAUUACAAAAAAUUUCUUGAAUUAAAAAUAUAAUUUACGUCAGGGGAGGUAUAUAUAAUACGAUACAUAUAGCGCAAUUUAACAGACUGGUUAAAGUCAUAUUUAACUUGCAAAUAUUCUUACAUCUGUGUGAAAAAAAACAGGAAAAAAUGUUUUAAGUGUUUUAAGAUAAGAUUUAUAUGCAUACAAAGAUUUCGAAGACUAAACAUUAGAAUUCUCGGAAUGUUUUCAAGUCGGAAUAUGCAAACGAUACAAAAUUGAUGAUAACACGACACUACGAAAUAACACCAUUAUAUCGAUUUCGGCGAAUUUUGCAAUAAAUUAUUUAUGACUGUUUAUGGUUUA
Nylanderia fulva is the source of this 1000-nucleotide non-coding RNA. The record is from RefSeq and is a predicted model, not a curated record. NCBI's taxonomy places the organism in Eukaryota, Metazoa, Arthropoda, Insecta, Hymenoptera, Formicidae.